RNAcentral lists this ribosomal RNA (103 nucleotides) under Capra hircus (goat). The record is from RNAcentral. Lineage: Eukaryota; Metazoa; Chordata; Mammalia; Artiodactyla; Bovidae.
GUCUACAGCCAUACCACCCUGAACAUGCCUGAUUUCAUCGAUCUCAGAAGCUGAGCAGGGUCAGGCCUGGUUAGUAUGGAUAAGAGACCAACAGAUAUGGACC